GUUAAUGUAGCUUAUUCAAAGCAAAGCACUGAAAAUGCUUAGAUGGAUGCAAGCAUCCCAUAAACA
Microtus ochrogaster (prairie vole) is the source of this 66-nucleotide non-coding RNA. The record is from Ensembl. Lineage: Eukaryota; Metazoa; Chordata; Mammalia; Rodentia; Cricetidae.